Molecule: ribosomal RNA, 660 nt
Filed under: uncultured bacterium
Lineage: Bacteria
Description: bacterial SSU rRNA
Rfam family: Bacterial small subunit ribosomal RNA
Source: RNAcentral
AGUGGCGGACGGGUGAGUAACGCGUGAGAAUCUGCCUUGGGGUCGGGGACAACCACUGGAAACGGUGGCUAAUACCGGAUAAGCCGAUUGGUGAAAGAUUUAUUGCCCGAAGAGGAGCUCGCGUCUGAUUAGCUAGUUGGUGAGGUAAGAGCUCACCAAGGCAGCGAUCAGUAGCUGGUCUGAGAGGACGAUCAGCCACACUGGGACUGAGACACGGCCCAGACUCCUACGGGAGGCAGGAGUGGGGAAUUUUCCGCAAUGGGCGAAAGCCUGACGGAGCAAGACCGCGUGAGGGAGGAAGGCUCUUGGGUUGUAAACCUCUUUUCUCAGGGAAGAAGCUCUGACGGUACCUGAGGAAUCAGCCUCGGCUAACUCCGUGCCAGCAGCCGCGGUAAUACGGAGGAGGCAAGCGUUAUCCGGAAUUAUUGGGCGUAAAGCGUCCGCAGGUGGCGAUUCAAGUCUGCUGUCAAAGCACGGGGCUUAACUCCGUAAAGGCAGUGGAAACUGAAUAGCUAGAGUGCCGUAGGGGUAGAGGGAAUUCCCGGUGUAGCGGUGAAAUGCGUAGAGAUCGGGAAGAACAUCGGUGGCGAAAGCGCUCUACUGGACGGCAACUGACACUCAGGGACGAAAGCUAGGGGAGCGAAUGGGAUUAGAUACCCC